CUUUGGUUUAUUGUGCAGAGAAUGGAUCCAAGAGGCAAGGGUGGAACUGGUGAGACUAGUUGGGAGUUUUGCAGAAAUCCAGGUGAGUUUCUGGGGACUAGGAGUCAGGUGGGGGCUGUAGUGGGAGAAAGUGGAGACAUCCACUUUCAGGUGGCAUCUGUGAGGCUCAGGAGAGUGGCUCUGUGUUCUGUGGCAGGUGGGAGGGAGGGUCAGGGAGGACCACCAGCCUUCUGCCCUGAGCCAUUGGACAGACUGGGAAGGGCCCCUUGGAUGUUGAACGUUCAUUUUGAGCUUUGUCUGUGUGGACGUGUCCUUCUGCUGGGCCAGGUGGAAGUUUCGUCUUCCUGUCUCAGCUGAUGGGCAGAUCCCAACCCUUUACAGAGACAGAUUUUUCUAAGCUUGUCUAGAAGCCAGGCAAGAGUGGGAUGGCACACUUCAUUGCUCUCCUGGAAGAGCAGGCAGAUAAAGGAGGCAGGAAGCCAGUGCAGCGUUAGGGGGUUGGAGGGGAGGGGCUGGGAGGACGUCUGGCCACCCUGUCACUUUCUUUGCAAGACCCCUGAAUCGUUGCCUCCUUUGUCCAGGGCCUCUAGUCCUGGGAUAACUGAAGGAAGAAUCGUAGUCCAAGAACCAUCAAGGGCAGACAACCUCUCAGCCCUGGGGACAUCCUAGCAUCCUAGUUUUGAAAAUUUCUUGAAGAUUUUCAUUCCAUUGACCUAUGUGGACUAGAAGCAUAUAGGAGUCUCAUUUUCAAUUUAUUAACUUAUUUUCCACAAACUAUAAUAACUAUAAAAAUUUUUUUUUGGAAGGAAACAUAUUCAUGAGUCUAUGACCCAAGAACAAUGAUAUCUUUUUAAAAAAUAUUUUGCAUAUAACCUUCUAGUCCUUAAUACAUUAAUCCAGUUCACCAAAUUCUAAUGAAGUACUCAGGACAUACCAGGCCUUGUUCUCAGAACCAGGGAUACAGACAAUAGCAAAAUGGACCAAAGUCAACAAACAUGCAUAUUUCAAAUAGUUAAGCAUACAAUAUGCCAUUUUAAUCUUUAGGAAUUUUAAAUGGUAUUUACAUUUUUCUAAAUUACUUAAUGCCCACAUGGUAUGCUAACAUGUUAAGAAAAGAAUUUAUUAAAAUAUUCACCAGUUGGGACCACUGUCUCUGCCAACAGACCCUGGGAAUGAUUCUCACCACUGCAUCCCCAGCCGCCGGUACCAUGCCCAACGGACAGAAGCAAAUAUUCAGUAAAUAUUAGCCGAAAUGGCACUUUGUUUCUAGUUUGGGAAUAGCACUAACACAGCAACAAUCAUCUGUGUACCUAGAGGCUUCUGUUGAAUGAUUCCCGAAGACAGAUCUUUUCAAACUUGCUCAUCAAAGUUCUCACGGCAGCAAUAGAAAUUGAACACUUGGGGGCAGGCAUGAGGGGGGGCUGUCAAUGGUGGCUACAAAAUACACAAGUAUUUAAAUAUAAUUAAAA
Molecule: long non-coding RNA, 1469 nt
Filed under: Marmota monax (woodchuck)
Lineage: Eukaryota; Metazoa; Chordata; Mammalia; Rodentia; Sciuridae
Source: RNAcentral